RNAcentral lists this long non-coding RNA (211 nucleotides) under Mytilus galloprovincialis (Mediterranean mussel). Lineage: Eukaryota; Metazoa; Mollusca; Bivalvia; Mytilida; Mytilidae. The record is from RNAcentral.
GCUUCAUCCUUCUCUUUUACAUACACCUUAUCGCUAAUCCCGGCUGACCCGGCCGCUUGAACUUUUGACACAUACAACAAUCACUUAUCCAUUAUGGCGUCAGAUAUUAUUUGUUUUAUGACGUCAAAAUUUUACGGGAACCUGUGUGAUAUCCAGUAAUGGCGGACAAAUAGCGAUAGGGUGUAUUGUAAGUCUUUAACAAGAAUAUGUU